This 1350-nucleotide ribosomal RNA is filed under the name Aspergillus flavus. RNAcentral describes it as "SSU rRNA". It matches the Rfam family "Eukaryotic small subunit ribosomal RNA", at positions 62 to 1430 of the family's 1831-position model. Lineage: Eukaryota; Fungi; Ascomycota; Eurotiomycetes; Eurotiales; Aspergillaceae. The record is from RNAcentral.
GGGGGGGGUCUUAAGUAUAAGGCACUUUAUACUGUGAAACUGCGAAUGGCUCAUUAAAUCAGUUAUCGUUUAUUUGAUAGUACCUUACUACAUGGAUACCUGUGGUAAUUCUAGAGCUAAUACAUGCUAAAAACCUCGACUUCGGAAGGGGUGUAUUUAUUAGAUAAAAAACCAAUGCCCUUCGGGGCUCCUUGGUGAUUCAUAAUAACUUAACGAAUCGCAUGGCCUUGCGCCGGCGAUGGUUCAUUCAAAUUUCUGCCCUAUCAACUUUCGAUGGUAGGAUAGUGGCCUACCAUGGUGGCAACGGGUAACGGGGAAUUAGGGUUCGAUUCCGGAGAGGGAGCCUGAGAAACGGCUACCACAUCCAAGGAAGGCAGCAGGCGCGCAAAUUACCCAAUCCCGACACGGGGAGGUAGUGACAAUAAAUACUGAUACGGGGCUCUUUUGGGUCUCGUAAUUGGAAUGAGUACAAUCUAAAUCCCUUAACGAGGAACAAUUGGAGGGCAAGUCUGGUGCCAGCAGCCGCGGUAAUUCCAGCUCCAAUAGCGUAUAUUAAAGUUGUUGCAGUUAAAAAGCUCGUAGUUGAACCUUGGGUCUGGCUGGCCGGUCCGCCUCACCGCGAGUACUGGUCCGGCUGGACCUUUCCUUCUGGGGAACCUCAUGGCCUUCACUGGCUGUGGGGGGAACCAGGACUUUUACUGUGAAAAAAUUAGAGUGUUCAAAGCAGGCCUUUGCUCGAAUACAUUAGCAUGGAAUAAUAGAAUAGGACGUGCGGUUCUAUUUUGUUGGUUUCUAGGACCGCCGUAAUGAUUAAUAGGGAUAGUCGGGGGCGUCAGUAUUCAGCUGUCAGAGGUGAAAUUCUUGGAUUUGCUGAAGACUAACUACUGCGAAAGCAUUCGCCAAGGAUGUUUUCAUUAAUCAGGGAACGAAAGUUAGGGGAUCGAAGACGAUCAGAUACCGUCGUAGUCUUAACCAUAAACUAUGCCGACUAGGGAUCGGGCGGUGUUUCUAUGAUGACCCGCUCGGCACCUUACGAGAAAUCAAAGUUUUUGGGUUCUGGGGGGAGUAUGGUCGCAAGGCUGAAACUUAAAGAAAUUGACGGAAGGGCACCACAAGGCGUGGAGCCUGCGGCUUAAUUUGACUCAACACGGGGAAACUCACCAGGUCCAGACAAAAUAAGGAUUGACAGAUUGAGAGCUCUUUCUUGAUCUUUUGGAUGGUGGUGCAUGGCCGUUCUUAGUUGGUGGAGUGAUUUGUCUGCUUAAUUGCGAUAACGAACGAGACCUCGGCCCUUAAAUAGCCCGGUCCGCGUUUGCGGGCCGCUGGCAUCUUAGUGUGAGGUAUCGGCUA